UAUAACAACAAAAUUCUAAUAUGUAUUCUGCCAAAAAUUCAGUAGUAAUAUCUUGAAUAAUGCAUGCUUAAAAGAAAAAUUUGUUAUCAUACUAAGAAGAAUUAAUAAAGAAAUUAAUAAAGCAAAAUCAUUUCAGCUUGAUAACUAGUUUUAAAAAUUUGUAAGAGACAAUUAGUUUCUGGGUGGUGAAGUAAUAUCCUGAAGAAAGUUGAAGCUUUUAAAAGUUGAACAAAUGAACCUCAACAAAACAGUAUGGAAACUGCAGCUCGUAGCAAUACUGGGGUGACUAGAAAUCUUUAUUAUCUCUAGAUCUAGUCUUUACUAUGUCAAGAUCCAGUAAGAUCAAGAUUAAAUCAAGGGUACAUCCUGUUGGACUUUUAACUAUUGGCUUUUGUAUGCUACUGGACAAAUCUGAAAAAACAGAAAACUAGGGUUUUUCUACUUCUAUGAAAAAUGCAGGUACUUACUCUUGCAAGGUUUAGGGAAAUGACACAGUUAUCUCUGCUUAUGCUGAAAUCUUUCCUCUAGUAAAAUUCCAAUGAUCUGCUUGCUUUUGGCUUGUCUGAACAAGACUGACUUUUUUUCUUUUUUCUUUUUUCCCUUUCUAAUGUUGAAGAAGCAGAAUAUAUAAAAUACUCCACUGUGUGAAAACAAAUCAAAACAUGACUGACUGUUUUCUCUUUCUAAAAUAUGUGUUGAGUAAAGCCACUGUCUUUUCUCUUCCACUGAUUCUUUGGGCCCACAAAUGCUGAAAUUAAAGGAAGGCCCAUUUGAGACUGGACUGUUAUCAUCCAAUCCUGACAGAUGUCUUGUCCACGCACUGCUAGGAAGAAGGAAGGGUAUUAUCAUCCUGCAGUAGUGAAGAUAAUGAGCUUCAAGGACUGUGGGAACCUGCAAUUGCAGCAGAACUGAGAUAUCUUGCAAAAACAUUAAAAGGACAACAGGAGAUUGCACUUGAGGGGAGAGGAAGUGCAGAACUAUGUAUGCGGCUACUUGAAUGACAAAGCUUUAUGUCAAGACUCAUUAAAUGCCCUGCUUUGUGCUUCUUUUCUUUUGCUAGGAUUACUGUGUCAUUUGCAUGUUUUAUCUUGCCUGUGAACAAUUGUAUUCAUGAAUUCUGAAAGCAGAUCCAAAGUGGAGGAGCCACUGUACAGAGCAGUCACAGUUCUUUCCCCUGCAGCCACAUGACAUUGAAAUACAACUGAGGAUCCCAAUGACCACUGCUCCUAUCAGCUGGGGGGCCAGGCUGAGGUGAGCAACAGCAGUAUCACUACAGAGAAUAGCAAUUUUAGAACUAAUAUUACCUGAUGAGGGCAAAAAUGGUUAAGUGGUUCACUCCUUUAGGCUGCUAGAUGGCUUUAACUCAAAAUAAAUAAGGUCUGCUCUGUGGCCCAAAUGGGAGCUUGUCUUCGUGUCUUGUAAUAGAUGCACUUUUCUGCAGGAGAGGUAAAGCAGUAUUGGUUCUCUCAUCCUGAAAUUUUAAUUCAGUGGAGUGUGCAUUUGGUGCUGCUGUAGUUGCACUGAUAGUUCUAUCCUUCCAUAUACCUAUUCUG
Long non-coding RNA from Cairina moschata (Muscovy duck), 1553 nucleotides. Lineage: Eukaryota; Metazoa; Chordata; Aves; Anseriformes; Anatidae. The record is from Ensembl.